AUACGGAGGGAGCAAGCGUUAUUCGGAAUCACUGGGCGUAAAGGACGCGUAGGCGGGUUUGUAAGUCAGGUGUGAAAUCCUACAGCUCAACUGUAGAACUGCACUUGAAACUACAGACCUAGAGUAUGGAAGGGGCAGAUGGAAUUAGUGGUGUAGGGGUAAAACCCGUAGAUAUCACUAGGAAUACCGAAAGCGAAGGCGAUCUGCUGGGACAUUACUGACGCUGAGGCGUGAAAGCGUGGGGAGCAAACAGGAUUAGAAACCCCUGUAGUCC
This 274-nucleotide ribosomal RNA is filed under the name uncultured bacterium. RNAcentral's name for it is "partial 16S ribosomal RNA". It matches the Rfam family "Bacterial small subunit ribosomal RNA", at positions 523 to 796 of the family's 1533-position model. The record is from RNAcentral.